AGAGUUCGAUUCUGGCUCAGGAUGAACGCUAGCUACAGGCUUAACACAUGCAAGUCGAGGGGCAUCAGGAAGAAAGCUUGCUUUCUUUGCUGGCGACCGGCGCACGGGUGAGUAACACGUAUCCAACCUGCCGAUGACUCGGGGAUAGCCUUUCGAAAGAAAGAUUAAUAUCCGAUAGCAUAUAUUUCCCGCAUGGGUUUUAUAUUAAAGAAAUUCGGUAUGAGAUGGGGAUGCGUUCCAUUAGUUUGUUGGCGGGGUAACGGCCCACCAAGACUACGAUGGAUAGGGGUUCUGAGAGGAAGGUCCCCCACAUUGGAACUGAGACACGGUCCAA
This 334-nucleotide ribosomal RNA is filed under the name uncultured bacterium. RNAcentral's name for it is "bacterial SSU rRNA". It matches the Rfam family "Bacterial small subunit ribosomal RNA", at positions 8 to 334 of the family's 1533-position model. The record is from RNAcentral.